Molecule: ribosomal RNA, 542 nt
Filed under: Cyclophorus formosaensis
Lineage: Eukaryota; Metazoa; Mollusca; Gastropoda; Architaenioglossa; Cyclophoridae
Description: partial 16S ribosomal RNA
Source: RNAcentral
UAGCAAGAAAAUUUUUUGAAUUAGAUUUCUCGAAACCUGAAGAGCUACCUUAAUUUUGGUUUAGCCUUAGACAAAGAGUGGGUGUGGCAUAACCCUAUUUAAAAUUUAAGGUAGAAAUUAAAUGUUAUUCGUUUUAGGUGAUAGCUAGUUAUAAUAUAAAGAUAUACAAGUAUCGGAUAUAAUUUUAUUAUAUGUUUAUACUAUAUACACAUAAUGACUUAUUUUCUUAGUUAUGCGAGGGUAAGCUCGUAUAAAUUUAAUUUAACUAAAAUUAUAUAUGAAUCUAGGCUUGAAAUUAGCCACGGUUUGGAAUUUGUUAAAAAUGCAUAUAUGUACACAAAAACUUUGUAAUAUAUUAAAUUUAUGUUAUCCAACUAUGUAAUCAAGGCAUGGUUGGUUUAUGCUAAAAUGAGUAUUAUUAUAAGCUAAAACAAAAAAUAAAUUAAAUUUUUUUUAAAAAUUUUUUAUAAAUAUCAUAAAAUAUAUAAUAGGAACUCGGCAAAAAUUUAGCUCCGCCUGUUUAGCAAAAACAUGUCUCUUUG